AUAGAGAUAUAGUGGAGGUUAUCAUGGAGACAGGUGGUGCAUGGUUGUCGUCAGCUCGUGUCGUGAGAUGUUGGGUUAAGUCCCGCAACGAGCGCAACCCUUAUUGCUAGUUACCAUCAUUAAGUUGGGGGACUCUAGCGAGACUGCCAGUGAUAAACUGGAGGAAGGUGGGGAUGACGUCAAAUCAUCAUGCCCCUUAUGACCUGGGCUACAAACGUGAUACAAUGGCUGAAACAAAGGGCAGCGAAGCAGUGAUGUGAAGCGAAACCCAAAAAAGCAGUCUCAGUUCGGAUUGAAGUCUGCAACUCGACUUCAUGAAGUCGGAAUCGCUAGUAAUCGCGAAUCAGAACGUCGCGGUGAAUACGUUCUCGGGGUUU
Molecule: ribosomal RNA, 377 nt
Filed under: uncultured Acholeplasma sp.
Lineage: Bacteria; Bacillati; Mycoplasmatota; Mollicutes; Acholeplasmatales; Acholeplasmataceae
Description: bacterial SSU rRNA
Rfam family: Bacterial small subunit ribosomal RNA
Source: RNAcentral